AAAAAUGGGGGAACUUCUGUAAAGAUCUGGAGAAAUUUCACUUUAAAGUAUAGCACAAUCAAUUUAGAAAAGCCUAUAUUGGUAAAAACUGCCUAGUGUCAUUUAUCCUUACCUAGGAUAUUUAAUUUUUAAAUACAUCUUCAGAUUCAGUGUGAAACUACUGGUUUCCAGAGAGCGAAACAAUGUGAAGGCUUAUGUUCUCAAUAGUUUUCCUUAAAUUACAUGUCCACCUUCCCCCAACCCUUUUAAUCUUUUUCUUUUAUUCUUCUCUCUCUCCCAAACUAUAUUUUAUCAUCUUAUAGGGACAGAAGGAUCAGAUCAGUAAAGUAGCUUUUUUAAAAAAAGGUUAAAGUAGAAGUUUCAAGACUUAUUCUGGUGGUAAUAUCAAAUGAAUUUUAUAAUUGUGGUGAUUUCUCUUUCACAGUUCCUGUCUUUAUUGAAAUCCUGGAAUGAAUAUCACAGGAGCAAAGCCAACCAGGACUGACGUGAUUUCCCCACCAGUGAUGCUUGACUGGCUGGGAAAAGCAGCACCUCCAGCACCUGCUGUGAGAGAAAAGGAGCUUGCAAAGUCCUGCAGCCAGAACUGCCACCAAGGUCAGGAAUUGUGCAUUUUCUCAGUUUGGACGUUGGCAGAGGGAUCAUCUAUCACCUGCCUAGCACGGGCCCACAUUUGUUCUGAUGAUGCCCUGAGAAGAGGGAGCUGUUGGAGAGAUUUAAAGGUCCUUUUUCUGAGCUGGCCAAUGUAAACUCUGAGAGCCACAGAUUUUCUUCUUGCCUGUCAAUAGCUACACUGAAAGCUGCAGGACUAAACUGUGUACAGAAAGCAACCCUGGCCAUUUCCUCUGAAAGGGUUAUUGGCACAAUUAAUUACAAAGGUUAUUAGGGCUUAUAAAUAUGUAACAAAAUGUUUCAGGUGCCAUUUUUCGUGAAAGCUGGACUUUGUUCUUGGCUCUAAAAUCUAAAAUAAAGCUAAAACUGCUUUAUUGUCCA
RNAcentral lists this long non-coding RNA (990 nucleotides) under Zonotrichia albicollis (white-throated sparrow). RNAcentral describes it as "lncRNA (ENSZALG00000012555.1)". Lineage: Eukaryota; Metazoa; Chordata; Aves; Passeriformes; Passerellidae. The record is from RNAcentral.